This 202-nucleotide ribosomal RNA is filed under the name uncultured bacterium. RNAcentral's name for it is "partial 16S ribosomal RNA". It matches the Rfam family "Bacterial small subunit ribosomal RNA", at positions 1292 to 1500 of the family's 1533-position model. The record is from RNAcentral.
UUCGGAUCGGAGUCUGCAACCCGACUCCGUGAAGCUGGAUUCGCUAGUAAUCGCGCAUCAGCCACGGCGCGGUGAAUACGUUCCCGGGCCUUGUACACACCGCCCGUCAAGCCAUGGGAGCCGGGGGGUGCCUGAAGUCCGUGACCGCAAGGGGCGGCCUAGGGUAAAACCGGUGACUGGGGCUAAGUCGUAACAAGGUAGC